UACGGAGGAUGCGAGCGUUAUCCGGAUUUAUUGGGUUUAAAGGGUGCGUAGGCGGCUUUUUAAGUCAGCGGUGAAAUUUUGCAGCUUAACUGUAACAGUGCCGUUGAUACUGGGGAGCUAGGAUUUGGUUGCUGUGGGUGGAAUGUGUGGUGUAGCGGUGAAAUGCAUAGAUAUCACGAGGAACUCCGAUUGCGCAGGCAGCUUACUAAACCAUAACUGACGCUCAGGCACGAAGGCGUGGGGAUCAAACAGGAUUAGAUA
This 261-nucleotide ribosomal RNA is filed under the name uncultured prokaryote. RNAcentral's name for it is "partial 16S ribosomal RNA". It matches the Rfam family "Bacterial small subunit ribosomal RNA", at positions 524 to 784 of the family's 1533-position model. The record is from RNAcentral.